ACCUAGUUACAUAAGCCACAGUUAACUAAACAAUUGACCAACGUUUACUGUUAAAUCUAGCUGCGUUAACUGGUUAAAUAUAAAACGUUAAUAAGGUUCCCACUUUAAGACUAGCUGCAACUUCUUCCAUCAAAAUGUUAGCGCCUAAAUUAACCUAGGCUAGGUAGUGCAGCAAAAUCUCUACUAAAGUUACAACGAUGUCACGAAAAUGCACUAAUAUGACUGUAUCUAGUGAGCUAGGUUAACUAGUUAACUAACUAACUAGGUUACAGCAGCCUUUACAUCAUCAUCAUCACUGUUAACCUACAAAGCUAGGUCAGCUAUCUUAACUAGUUAACUAGAUGACCUAGCUAACCUAACCUAGCUACAUUUUAACGAUACCAGAUGCUGACUCACCAAAUAACGCUACACACAGACUUUUUUUUCUCUUUUUAGGGGGGAAAUAACUUUUUUUUUUCUCCCAGUCGUUUUCGUGACUGGUUAUAUCUAAAAACGCGCAAAACAGACUAAAAACUAUACAUAAAAUGUAAUAAAAGUCAAGUUGUGGACCUGCCAGCUUUUAUCACCAUUUCAGCAUUUUCGACAUAACCAGCCAGCUAGUCAAGCAGCCGUAUAAACGCUUUUUAUAUUAAUGCAUAUGGACGCCAGCCACGAUGCUAUUUACAAUGAAGCAAAAGUGACCGUUAAUAUUUAAAUUAAAAAGGACGCUUACCGGCUCUGGUGGCUGAGCUCGCCCGACUUGUGUCAUCUGAGUCUCCGCUGUUUACCCACCCUUGCAUCCCUCAUCCAGCCCCUGGCCUACCACAGGCAGUGAGUGCAGCAAAUCGCACAAAAACAGAAGCUAUCGCAGAACAGAAUCAACAAUUAUGGGCCAAUCAAAUCUCUGGGCUGCAGGAGCAGGCCCCUACAUGGAUCCAUGAUUUCACUGGACCCAAACCAGCAGAGAGGAUUAAUGUGGGAGGAGGGAGAGCUGAGAGAGAGAGAGAGAGAGAGAGAGAAGGUGUAAACCCUUGA
This 1014-nucleotide long non-coding RNA is filed under the name Astyanax mexicanus (Mexican tetra). RNAcentral describes it as "lncRNA (ENSAMXG00005018765.1)". Lineage: Eukaryota; Metazoa; Chordata; Actinopteri; Characiformes; Acestrorhamphidae. The record is from RNAcentral.